Pongo abelii (Sumatran orangutan) is the source of this 148-nucleotide unclassified non-coding RNA. It matches the Rfam family "Metazoan signal recognition particle RNA". From Rfam's summary of the family: The signal recognition particle (SRP) is a universally conserved ribonucleoprotein. The record is from Ensembl. NCBI's taxonomy places the organism in Eukaryota, Metazoa, Chordata, Mammalia, Primates, Hominidae.
GCCGGGUGUGCUGGCGCAUGCCUGUAGUCCCAGCUGCUCAGGAGGCUGAGGCAGAAGAAUCGCUUGAACUCAGGAGGCGGAAGUUGCAGUGAGCCGAGAUUGUGCCACUGCACUCCAGCCUGGGUAACAGAGUGAGACUCCGUCUCAA